AGAGUUUGAUCCUGGCUCAGAUUGAACGCUGGCGGCAGGCUUAACACAUGCAAGUCGAGCGGUAACAGGAGAAGCUUGCUUCUCGCUGACGAGCGGCGGACGGGUGAGUAAUACUUAGGAAUCUACCUAGUAGUGGGGGAUAGCUCGGGGAAACUCGAAUUAAUACCGCAUACGACCUACGGGAGAAAGGGGGCAACUUGUUGCUCUCGCUAUUAGAUGAGCCUAAGUCGGAUUAGCUAGAUGGUGGGGUAAAGGCCUACCAUGGCGACGAUCUGUAGCUGGUCUGAGAGGAUGAUCAGCCACACCGGGACUGAGACACGGCCCGGACUCCUACGGGAGGCAGCAGUGGGGAAUAUUGGACAAUGGGGGCAACCCUGAUCCAGCCAUGCCGCGUGUGUGAAGAAGGCCUUUUGGUUGUAAAGCACUUUAAGCAGUGAAGAAGACUCCAUGGUUAAUACCCAUGGACGAUGACAUUAGCUGCAGAAUAAGCACCGGCUAACUCUGUGCCAGCAGCCGCGGUAAUACAGAGGGUGCAAGCGUUAAUCGGAAUUACUGGGCGUAAAGCGAGCGUAGGUGGCUUGAUAAGUCAGAUGUGAAAGCCCCGGGCUUAACCUGGGAACGGCAUCUGAUACUGUUAGGCUAGAGUAGGUGAGAGGAAGGUAGAAUUCCAGGUGUAGCGGUGAAAUGCGUAGAGAUCUGGAGGAAUACCGAUGGCGAAUGCAGCCUUCUGGCAUCAUACUGACACUGAGUUCGAAAGCGGUGGGUAGCAAACAGGAUUAGAUACCCUGGUAGUCCACGCCGUAACGAUGUCUACUAGUCGUUGGGUCCCUUGAGGACUUAGUGACGCAGCUAACGCA
RNAcentral lists this ribosomal RNA (857 nucleotides) under uncultured bacterium. Its description in RNAcentral is "bacterial SSU rRNA". It matches the Rfam family "Bacterial small subunit ribosomal RNA", at positions 8 to 859 of the family's 1533-position model. The record is from RNAcentral.